Molecule: non-coding RNA, 5999 nt
Organism: Equus caballus (horse)
Lineage: Eukaryota; Metazoa; Chordata; Mammalia; Perissodactyla; Equidae
Source: RefSeq, a predicted model, not a curated record
UCCACCGCGCGGUGGUGCCGUGUCCCUGUUGGAUCCCUCUCUUUCUGACAGGACGAGGCAUUGGUGAGCUCUGUCAACACUUGUGACAGGUUGGCCACAUUGGUACUUUUGCCCCUGUUGUUUGAAACCAAAGAUGGGUGACAGUGACGGUUGAGGUGCCCCAUGUGCUCAGGGCUCAAAUGGGAAACAGAGAGGGUUUCUGGAACACGUUUGGCAAUCCCUUCUGAGUUUUCCACUGAGACCCAGACACAGACAAUCUUUUGGCUCAUGCCAGGUGGCCGUCCUUCUCUCAGCACUUUCCCAGUGCAUGAGGCCUGUGCGCUGAGUUAGCACUGUCUUCCCACUGCUGGAAAUUCAUGUCUGUGCUCUGUACCAACGGUGAAUGCCAACUUGCUGUACUUGGCUCAUGCAACUGAGAUGAUAGGGUCUCACUUGUCCUUGAUGACGGCUGUAGGUUGAGUUCAGGUUUUCACUUAAGUAAAUAAUAAUUCCAGCCUUCAGCUGGGGAGGGGGACUGACAUGUCACUGGGCAUGGCCUUUGGCAUUCUAAAGCAACCUGUGACCCAACUGGGAUGGACUUCCCCUCUCCACCUCACCCAGGUUGCUAGAAGAAGUAACUAUGGGUCUUUGGCAACUCUUCCCCAGGAUGCAUGAUGAGGAUUGGGAAACACUGAAUUAUGAAAUAAAGGAAGGCAGUUGUGCUUUUGUCAUCCCUGGCACAUGUGUCCUAAGUUACAGUAAUGAGAUCAGAGCUCUCACGGGGUACCAAAGGGCACCUCGCUAUUAAGCAAUUUGUUUUUCAGUGUGUUCUCGUCAACAGACUCAGUAGGCGAUGGGUGACCUGAUGGGAAUGACUUUGGGUGGUUAUAGUUGGGAAACAAGUUAACGCUCACUGAUAACUGUCUCUGGGUGGAAUGAGGAAACCGCUAGGAUUCCAGAAGGCUGUUGUUUGAAGGGUGCACUCGGUUCCAAGAAGAGAUGGGAGGAGCAGGAAAUGUGAAGAUAUGUGCUACCCAUUAAUUGACUUGUAUCGUGUGGCAAAUUGUCCCCAUCUCAGGGCUCAUGACCCCUGUUACAUUCAGAAGAGCGAGCAGGCGUUUGUGGAGACAGAUGUAUCCUCUCCUCAUCUCUAAUCCCCUGAGCCUGUCCAGGCAUACAGCCACUGCUUCCCUGAAUCCUCCCCGGAUCAGCUAUUGUUUCUCAUAUCUGCUGUUUCCUUCUUUUUCCCCCUCAAGCAACCCUGUUCCAGGCACUCUUCUUCUUCGCUGCUGUCGGCACCCAGUGUCACUGUACUGCCUGACACGGUCUCACCACAGCGUGGCAAACAUCGGAGCAGUCGACCUUGGCACACAUGACAUCUCUAAGGAAAAGGACCAAACGUGCACCUACGGCCUCUGAUUCAAACUCCUUCUCAGUUUCUUCUGUUCAUGCGGAGCCUCUCACUCCUAUUGCACUAGCGACAGCCCACCCGCUCCUCAGCCACGGUCCCAGAGCCGUGCGUUCUCUCAGAGAGAGCUUUGUUGGGCAGCUGUGCCCAGCUCUUACUUUUUUAAAAUAACUUUUUACAGUGGAAAAGUUUAAACAUAUAUAAAAGUGGAGAGAAUAGUGUAAUGAACCCCAUGUACCCAUCACCCGGCUUCAACAAAUAUCCAUAUAUGGCCAAUCUUGGUUCUUCUCUACUCCCACCCUCUGCCUUCCACCGGAUUAUUAUAAAGCGAAUCAGAGAUGUUGCAUAACUUCUUCAUAAAUCCUUCAAAAUAUAUCUCUAAGAGACAAGGACUUUUUAUAAACAUAACUGUAAUUCUAUUAUUAUGCCUAAAACACAUAGUAAUUCCUUAGUAUGAUGAAAUAUCUAGUGUUUAAACUUCCCUGAUAGUCUCAUGAUUUGUUUUUUUUUUUUACAUUUGGUUUCUCAGAAUCAGGAUCCAAACAAGGUCCACAUGUUACACGUGUUGAUACAUUUUGUAAGUCUUCUGAAAGAAUGACCUAACCCGAAGUGUUGAUAGUGCCGCUGCUGAGAAACCCGCUGUUGGUGUCGUUUAACAAUUUAUCCUCCCUCUGGUUCCUGUAAACUAGUAGUUAGAUGGCACUGCAUUCAGGUUGAGUCUUGUGGCGAGACUAUCUCACGGGCGUCUCUGUGCACUUCCUAUCGCAUCACAUCAGGAGGCACAUGAUGUCGGCUUUUCUCUUGUUUGUGAUGUUAAGAAUUGAUCUGUGCCUUUGGGUGUUGAGGGUCUGAUUCUUCCAUUAGAAAGUUCCCAUCAGCUAAUGGUUUACCAUCUGUCAAUGAUCAUUAGGCAGAUCGAUUAUUUCAUUUAGAUUCUAGCAUUAUUUCUACAUUUGUUAGGUGUAAGUCUUCUCUAAAGAACUUUCCUGCAUCAAUGAUAAGCCAAGGUCCAGUGCACACAAGAUGCUUUUUUUAAAAGCAGUUAUCAGAAUAAUGAUUUGGUUCCUUAGCAUGCUCCAGAGGUAACUGGUGAAGUUUUCUUUUUUAAAGUAUCCUUAUAAACUCAUGAAUUUUAACAGGGAUGAUGUGAACAAUUCUGUGCCGUCUAUUCCUUUUGAUGCGCUUAUUGUUCCACCUUAGCCUGGUGGAAGCCUAUUAUAAAUUGUCUCCUUUGUCCUCUGGAUGCGACCACAGUAGUCUUCCUUGCUUUCUGGCAUGACAAGGUGUUCCAGAUUCAUCUCAUAUCUUUCCUAUCCCUAACCUAGAAUCAGACAUUUCUCCAAGGGGACCUGAUUCUUUUUAGUAGGAAUUUAGUAGGAUUUAGAGACCACAACCAGCUGGGUCUAGUUUUUGAAGACUUUGCAUAAAUACUGAUGAGCGUGUAAGAGAUACACACAGAGGGGACCCAAGCCUUGCACGUGGGCGUGAUCACCCACCAGUGCAUUUUUCACCAGCUGUAUUAAACAAAAUAACUCCUGCCCGCACCCCCUCAAACAGGGGUUUGAGGUCCCGAUGUUUGAAAGUCCCUUCACCUCUACAAGACCUUGCCUGAGUCUGAUUCCUAGACCUUCUUUUCUGGGGUGAAGCAGAUUACCAACAACCAUGGGAUUCUUUCCUCUUGCCCUACCGGCUAGCACAGGCUUCUGCGGGAGGAGGCUCAGGCUGAGGACUUGCAAGGAUUCUGCAGUACUCCAGAGGUUGCUCCAGCCAGAGCUGCCCCUGUGUGCUGUUCUGUGAGCCCCGGAGGCUGCACCAGCCCUUCCAGAAUGGUGCCUGCCUUUGGGGAGUUUCUCCUCACACACCUAUCUCCUAACUCAGGAUUGCUAAUUUUGUUCUAAGAUAUUGCCCACAAGGACUGAGUCCUGUGCCCCUACACAGACCGAGGAACAGAUCCACAACACCUGGAGUCUUGGAUAGCUUACCAUAGACCCUCCUUAAUCUGUCUCCGUGGUUCAGGACCAGGUUUACUGGUCCUCCCAGCUGCUGAGAAACCUUGUAGGGGAGGAGCCCUGAGCGGUGUCCUGUGGACCUCACCGAGCCACCUGGUGCCCUCGGCUGCUGCAGUGGAGGCAUCAAAUAUGGUUGGCCCUGCAUUACUAGGCAGGGGCAGUGAAAAGGAAGGUGAAUGAUGGAGAAAACCAGUGACAGUGUUAAGCUCUGUAGGAGUACAUUUAUAUGUUAGCCAAGUUAAUUGCAAAUUGCGCAGAAGCCAGUCUGAGCUUCCAGACUGUUCCAGUCUGUUUAAAGGGCAGGAAAACAUAGAUCUUAUUGUUAUACUAUAAAAGUAAUGCCACUCGCCCAUAGUGGGGGCGUCUUCAUAGCAGGCAUCUCUGCCACCUCCCUGGCCUUGAGGGGCCUCCAUGGCACUGGCUGGUCUGUGUUCACAGGGCACUGACUAGACGGGUGUUCUGCAGAGUCGCCUUCAAAGCAGCUCCUGGACAUUUUCUCUCACAAAUCUCAAGAUUGGCUCUAAAAAAAAAUCCUGACGUCAGCAGCCUCUAAGGCCUCUCUGAGAAUAAAAUGCAGUUUAUAUGUCUACUGAGUGUUACUUGUUUGCAGCUGGGGAGAAAGUCAUAGAUGCCUCCUUUCUGUGAAUGGGGCCAGGAGGGAGGGUGCCAGGAGAGCAUGUAGUUAGUCAUUUUUAUAUAGGACAGGCCCAACGGGGUCCAGAUCCUUUCCUGCCAAGCACUUCCUUGCCCUUUGCAAACACUGGGGUCCUUAAGAGCCAGGGAGUCAGGUGAGGUUACCUGGAAUUUUAGAAUAAGAAAGGACUAACAGAUUUCAACACUAUCACUUUUCUUUCAAAUGAAAUCUAGCCCAGAUCCCCACUGUAUAAAGCAGAGGUUAAGUGGCUGAAUGGCAGGGGCACCAGAGCCAAGGAUGUUGGGCUCUUCCGAUGCUCUGUCCCCCGCAACAACCCCUGGGCUCCAAGAAGGACUUUUUGAGACGUGCGGAUGGCAAUAGUAUGGCAAACUUCCCCUGAAGCUUGGCUCCCCCGCCCCUCUUCCCUCUAAUCAACCCUGAAAGUGCUAAAGAAGAGAGAGAAUGGGAGGUGGAUCUGAGAAAAGAAUAUAAAAAACCAAGGAACACUCAGGCUACAGAAGGUGUGGGUGGAAGAGGGCCUGAUGCCACACCUGGGGGCCAGGCGUCGGGGUGCGCAUCCUUUUCUCUCUCUUCUAUAGUAUUUUUGGAUGGGUUAUCGCCUGUUUCAUCACAUCCCAGAAAUGAGCACUGCCAGCCCAGUGCCACGAGGUCAGUGGGGUGACAUUAGGGCUGCGUUCCAUCCGUGCUGGGGCAGGUGCACAUAACAUAUGUGCAGGCAGAUCUGCCAGCCACAUGGAGUCCCCCCUCCCCAGCCCUCUAUGCUUCAAGGCAAGCUGACUGCAAUCCAGGCAGAUGGGACUUAGAUUAGAAAGCGGUGAUCAGGAUGGAGGUAUGAGGAUGUCCCCUGAGGGGCAGAGUCACUUGUGAGUUGUGGCAGGUGGAGGGUGGUUGAGUCCAAAUGGCAGCGCCAGACGGUCUCCCACCCUAGGGUGUGGCCCACCCACUCCGCUGACCCACCAGGGACUUAGCUCCCCCCAUCACAUGGGUACACAUCACUAGCCAAGGUAGUCAAGACUCCCAGGAGAAUGUGAGAUCACAGGAAACAAUAAUGAGGCAUGAAAUAAGAUGGUGGAACUAAGAGUCAACAUAAUAGUAAAAUAAAUGUAAAUAGAUUAAACUCGCCCAUCCCAAAAUGGAGAUUUCCAGAUUAAAUUUUAAAAAGACCUUUUAGCAGUAUGCUUUCUACAGGAGACAUGAAAAGAUACAGAAAUGUUUAAUACUAAUUGACAAAAGAGAAUUUUAAAACAUCAAAAUGGACAAACAGAAUAUUAGAAUAUUAUGUUUUGGUAAGAGGAACAAUAUAUCAAGAAGAUAUAAUGAUAAAGAUAAAUCUAUCAAUAUUGUCUCAAAUAUAUAAAGCAGUUACCAAUAGGACUAAAGGGAGAAAUAAUAAAUCAAUAAUUGUAAUCAGAAAUUCAUAGACUCUUCUCAGAAACUGACAGAUCAAGCAUUAAAAAAAAGCAGAUAAGACGUGAACUACACAAUAAGCUGUAGGUUAUUUAUUUAUAUAUACAUAUAUGUAUAUAUAUUUGCAAAAAUCAACGAUGUAUUAAGCCACAAAAAAUGCCAUAAUUUCAAAGAAUCAACAUCAUAGAGACCAUGGUUCUUUGACCAUAAUACAAUAAGUGAAAUACAAAACAAAAGAAUAGACACUCCCCCCCACCCCCCCCCACCAAUCAUUUGCUGAAAGCUAAUAAAAUCACUACUAAAUCACUCUUGGGUUAAAGACAGAAACAUAAGAGAAAUUCAAAAAUAUUUAGAACUAAAAUUUAAACAUCGAAAAUUUUCAAAAAUUGUGGGAGAUAAAGUAGUACUCAGAGGAAAAUUUAAAGCCUUAAAUCAUUUAUCCAAAAACAAAAAAAGAUUGAAACGAGCAAAUUUAAAAAAAAAACAAGAGGAAGGCAAUAAUGAAGAUAAGGCUAAAAAAUCAUUGAAAUAGAGGACAAAA